Long non-coding RNA from Vitis riparia (riverbank grape), 365 nucleotides. RefSeq lists it as uncharacterized. The record is from RefSeq and is a predicted model, not a curated record. Lineage: Eukaryota; Viridiplantae; Streptophyta; Magnoliopsida; Vitales; Vitaceae. The transcript has 2 exons.
UGUGAAGAUAGAAAUCGGUGAUUCUGUUAUUGGCAGCAUUGAUUGGGCGUGGAAUGUAAAGCAGAUAAAACCAAGCCACUUACCACUAGGUAAAUCAGAGGCUCGUUCGAUCAUAUGGAGGGCUUGGAGUCUACGCUACUUGGAUUUUAAUCUGAGUGGGUGAAGGCAAAAUGAAUAUGAGAAGAGAGCAAUUAAAAUUAAGAUAAUGCGAGUUGCAACUAAUGUAAUCUGUCUAGGAAUUGGAAUGAAAUUGGCCGGUAUAGUUUGGAACAAGAACUAGACCACUACGGAAUCUUGGAUAUCUUAAGUUGUAGAGACAAUCAAGAGAGUCAGUGGCAUACAGUGGAAAGCACACUAAGGUAAGU